UGUUGAGAUGACCUGCUUACGUUUGG
RNAcentral lists this non-coding RNA (26 nucleotides) under Rattus norvegicus (Norway rat). Lineage: Eukaryota; Metazoa; Chordata; Mammalia; Rodentia; Muridae. The record is from RNAcentral.